RNAcentral lists this transfer RNA (84 nucleotides) under Minisyncoccota bacterium. RNAcentral's name for it is "tRNA-Leu". It matches the Rfam family "tRNA". Rfam says of the family: Transfer RNA (tRNA) molecules are approximately 80 nucleotides in length. The record is from RNAcentral. Lineage: Bacteria; Bacillati; Minisyncoccota.
GCGCAGGUGGCGAAACUGGUAGACGCACUACCUUGAGGUGGUAGCGGGAGUAAUCUUGUGGAGGUUCAAAUCCUCUCCUGCGCA